This 393-nucleotide ribosomal RNA is filed under the name uncultured bacterium. Its description in RNAcentral is "partial 16S ribosomal RNA". It matches the Rfam family "Bacterial small subunit ribosomal RNA", at positions 523 to 918 of the family's 1533-position model. The record is from RNAcentral.
AUACGGAGGAUCCGAGCGUUAUCCGGAUUUAUUGGGUUUAAAGGGUGCGCAGGCGGGAGAUUAAGUCGGCGGUGAAAUUUUGCAGCUCAACUGUAAAAGUGCCUUCGAAACUGGUUUCCUUGAGUGUAGAUGAAGUAGGCGGAAUUUGUGGUGUAGCGGUGAAAUGCAUAGAUAUCACGAGGAACUCCGAUUGCGCAGGCAGCUUACUAAACUACUACUGACGCUCAGGCACGAAGGCGUGGGGAUCAAACAGGAUUAGAUACCCUGGUAGUCCACGCAGUAAACGAUGAUUACUAGCUGCUUGCGAUACAAUGUAAGCGGCUGAGCGAAAGCGUUAAGUAAUCCACCCGGGGAGUACGUUCGCAAGAAUGAAACUCAAAGGAAUUGACGGGG